This 478-nucleotide ribosomal RNA is filed under the name uncultured bacterium. Its description in RNAcentral is "partial 16S ribosomal RNA". It matches the Rfam family "Bacterial small subunit ribosomal RNA", at positions 28 to 507 of the family's 1533-position model. The record is from RNAcentral.
GAUGAACGCUGGCGGCGUGCUUAACACAUGCAAGUCGAACGAGAAAUGUAGACGGAAACCUUCGGGCGGAAGCCUUCAUUUCGAGUGGCGGACGGGUGAGUAACGCGUGGGUAACCUGCCUCAUACAGGGGGAUAACAGUUGGAAACGACUGUUAAUACCGCAUAAGACCACAGCAUCGCAUGAUGCGGGGGUAAAAACUCCGGUGGUAUGAGAUGGACCCGCGUUCGAUUAGCCAGUUGGCGGGGUAACGGCCCACCAAAGCGACGAUCGAUAGCCGAUCUGAGAGGAUGACCGGCCACAUUGGGACUGAGACACGGCCCAAACUCCUACGGGAGGCGGCAGUGGGGAAUAUUGCACAAUGGGGGAAACCCUGAUGCAGCGACGCCGCGUGAGUGAAGAAGUACUUCGGUAUGUAAAGCUCUAUCAGCAGGGAAGAAAAUGACGGUACCUGAGUAAGAAGCCCCGGCUAACUACGUG